CAUAACCAUGGGUUUUUAUCUAUGGCUUAUUCUGCUCAAUGAUUAAAUUAAAUAGCCGCAGUACUUUGACUGUGCAAAGGUAGCAUAAUCAGUUGUCUUCUAAUUGGGGUCUAGUAUGAAGGGAUAAUUGGGGAGCUGCUGUCUCUAUUUGAUUUUUAAAAGUUAUUCAGGAAGUGCAAAUCCUUCUGGUUAUUUAUUAGACGAGAAGACCCUAGAAAUUUGGGUUAUUAUUUUGUUGGGGCGACAGGGUAUCAAAUAAACAUACCUUAUUGAUUGAAAUAUGUAUGUAGGAAGAUAAAAUUACUCUAGGGAUAACAGCAUAAUUUCUAAAAGUUUGUGACCUCGAUGUUGGACUAGGAGAGCUUAAAUUAGAAGUCUAAAGUUUUUGUUCUGUUCGAACAUUUAUUCCUACG
Molecule: ribosomal RNA, 413 nt
Filed under: Neohelix lioderma
Lineage: Eukaryota; Metazoa; Mollusca; Gastropoda; Stylommatophora; Polygyridae
Description: partial large subunit ribosomal RNA
Rfam family: Bacterial large subunit ribosomal RNA
Source: RNAcentral